UAUAGAUGGAUCCGCGCUGCAUUAGCUAGUUGGUAAGGUAACGGCUUACCAAGGCAACGAUGCAUAGCCGACCUGAGAGGGUGAUCGGCCACACUGGAACUGAGACACGGUCCAGACUCCUACGGGAGGCAGCAGUAGGGAAUCUUCCGCAAUGGGCGAAAGCCUGACGGAGCAACGCCGCGUGAGUGAUGAAGGUCUUCGGAUCGUAAAACUCUGUUAUUAGGGAAGAACAUAUGUGUAAGUAACUGUGCACAUCUUGACGGUACCUAAUCAGAAAGCCACGGCUAACUACGUGCCAGCAGCCGCGGUAAUACGUAGGUGGCAAGCGUUAUCCGGAAUUAUUGGGCGUAAAGCGCGCGUAGGCGGUUUUUUAAGUCUGAUGUGAAAGCCCACGGCUCAACCGUGGAGGGUCAUUGGAAACUGGAAAACUUGAGUGCAGAAGAGGAAAGUGGAAUUCCAUGUGUAGCGGUGAAAUGCGCAGAGAUAUGGAGGAACACCAGUGGCGAAGGCGACUUUCUGGUCUGUAACUGACGCUGAUGUGCGAAAGCGUGGGGAUCAAACAGGAUUAGAUACCCUGGUAGUCCACGCCGUAAACGAUGAGUGCUAAGUGUUAGGGGGUUUCCGCCCCUUAGUGCUGCAGCUAACGCAUUAAGCA
Molecule: ribosomal RNA, 655 nt
Filed under: Staphylococcus aureus
Lineage: Bacteria; Bacillati; Bacillota; Bacilli; Caryophanales; Staphylococcaceae
Description: bacterial SSU rRNA
Rfam family: Bacterial small subunit ribosomal RNA
Source: RNAcentral